AAGUCGUAACAAGGUCUCCGUUGGUGAACCAGCGGAGGGAUCAUUACAAGAAGCCGAAAGGCUACUUAAAACCAUCGCGAACCCAUCCAAGUUGCUUCGGCGGCGCGGAGGCCCUCGGGUCGCCGCAGCCCCGGCCUCUCCGGAGGUCGAGGGGCGCCCGCCGGAGGUACGAAACUCUCCUGUAUCAUAGCGGCAUCUCUGAGUAAACAAACAAAUAAGUUAAAACUUUCAACAACGGAUCUCUUGGUUCUG
Molecule: unclassified non-coding RNA, 252 nt
Filed under: Coniochaeta sp.
Lineage: Eukaryota; Fungi; Ascomycota; Sordariomycetes; Coniochaetales; Coniochaetaceae
Description: partial contains small subunit ribosomal RNA, internal transcribed spacer 1, and 5.8S ribosomal RNA
Rfam family: Eukaryotic small subunit ribosomal RNA (bases 1-46)
Source: RNAcentral